This 550-nucleotide ribosomal RNA is filed under the name bacterium BaC1-36. RNAcentral describes it as "bacterial SSU rRNA". It matches the Rfam family "Bacterial small subunit ribosomal RNA", at positions 87 to 633 of the family's 1533-position model. The record is from RNAcentral.
GGUGACGAGUGGCGGACGGGUGAGUAAUGUCUGGGAAACUGCCUGAUGGAGGGGGAUAACUACUGGAAACGGUAGCUAAUACCGCAUAACGUCGCAAGACCAAAGAGGGGGACCUUCGGGCCUCUUGCCAUCAGAUGUGCCCAGAUGGGAUUAGCUAGUAGGUGGGGUAACGGCUCACCUAGGCGACGAUCCCUAGCUGGUCUGAGAGGAUGACCAGCCACACUGGAACUGAGACACGGUCCAGACUCCUACGGGAGGCAGCAGUGGGGAAUAUUGCACAAUGGGCGCAAGCCUGAUGCAGCCAUGCCGCGUGUGUGAAGAAGGCCUUCGGGUUGUAAAGCACUUUCAGCGGGGAGGAAGGGGGUAAGGUUAAUAACCUUAUUCAUUGACGUUACCCGCAGAAGAAGCACCGGCUAACUCCGUGCCAGCAGCCGCGGUAAUACGGAGGGUGCAAGCGUUAAUCGGAAUUACUGGGCGUAAAGCGCACGCAGGCGGUCUGUCAAGUCGGAUGUGAAAUCCCCGGGCUCAACCUGGGAACUGCAUUCGAAAC